This is a long non-coding RNA of Gallus gallus (chicken), 1103 nucleotides long. The record is from Ensembl. NCBI's taxonomy places the organism in Eukaryota, Metazoa, Chordata, Aves, Galliformes, Phasianidae.
GCCAUACAGAUCUCAGGCUGGAUGCUUUUGAUUAUGGCACUAGACAAAACUGAAUUGGAUUUUUUAAGUGAUCACCAUUACAGAGGGUGCUUUAAGCACGAGGCAUGUUCACAGCACUGUUUGAAAAACAAGGCAGCAAAUUGGUGUGUUCACAUAUAAUUUUGAAAUGCCGAUGGCUUUGCUGAACUCGCUGCAUCUCAUCCCAUCAGUUCAGAGAAAAUAAGCGGUUCCAGGCCUGGCUAAACGGUGUGGGGAGCUCAUCUGGGAAUUCAGGAAGCUAACAGCACGAGCCAAGGAGCUGUGGUUGAAUGCUUGAGCAAAGAUUCAUUCCACCUAACUCUAACCCUCAGAAAGCCGGGAAUCCGGUCUCAGCUCCCUCUGUAGUCAGCAGAGAUAAAUUCAAUUGCUUGAAGACAAUCCAUCGCACCUAAAAGAAAUACCUGCCCUCAUGCAGGUGCAGUGCUGAAGCCAGUAAUGUGAUCCAGGUACAGGCUGAGGACAGCUCAUGUUUAGGAAAGAAAACAGAAUGGGAGUUUAUCGAUCCGGUGAAAUUUAUUUGGGAAAUUGCCUUGAAGCCCUGGGCGAAGGUCAACAGUGGUUUGUAAGGUAUGCAGCAAAGAUCACGCAAAUCAUAGAAGAUGAGAGGAAGGAGGAGAGUGGGAGGAAGAAUUCAUCCUUCAGGUGCAAAAUGAAUGGGUCUUUAAAAUAGGAGCACGGGCAGGAGAUCCGUCUGCCUAUCUGUGCAUUGCUUCUCAGUGCACUCAUCCCCAUUGUAUACAGGCAUCAAAUACAAAAUUCAAAUCUGAAUUCAAUUUGCCUUUCCAUCAUUCCCAGGUUCCGCUUUCUGUUCGUUUGUGCAGAAUUUGUAUGUAAGCCUUCAUGACAGCGAGGAGAUUUCUGUGAGGCGGUGGGUCUGCAUUCUGCAGAGAGAACAGUCAGACUUCAGAUGGUUUGGGUCAGAUGGGAGGGGGGAGGGAGCUUUCUUUUUCCCUACAAAUAAGUCAAGGAAAUUGCCUUCCUCCUGGCUGAGAUUGUAAGGUUUUAGGAAAAGAGGCUCUGCUCGCAGGAAGAAUUCUGUGUGGUUGCAGAAGGGAGAAUAAAAG